AAAACAUUUCUUUAUGAAUAUAAUUAUAAGUACCCUCUGCCCUAUGAUUAUUAAAUGGCUGCAGUAUUUUGACUGUACAAAGGUAGCAUAAUAAAUUGGUUUUUAAAUAGAAUCUUGAAUGAAGGAGGUAAUGAAUUAUAAACUUUAUUAGAAUAAUAGAAUGAAUUUAAAUUUAAAGUUAAAAUUCUUUAAUAAAUUUAUGGGACGAGAAGACCCUAUAGAAUUUUAUUAAAUUUUUAAUUAUUUGUUAAUUAAUUUAUAAUUAAUAAUUUAAUUUGUUUGGGAGGAAUAUUAAAUUUAUAAACUUUAUUUAAUUAUAUACAAAAAUAAUUGGAAGUAUAGAUUUUUAUUUAAAAUAUGAGAUUAAAUUACCUUAGGGAUAACAGCGUAAUAUUUUUGGAAAGAUCUUAUUAAUAAAAAUGUUU
This 425-nucleotide ribosomal RNA is filed under the name Holepyris sp. RNAcentral's name for it is "partial large subunit ribosomal RNA". Lineage: Eukaryota; Metazoa; Arthropoda; Insecta; Hymenoptera; Bethylidae. The record is from RNAcentral.